GAAGUCGUUACUCUAACCCUUGUGGAGGAGGACGCCGAAGGUGGGGCUAAUGACUGGGGUGAAGUCGUAACAAGGUAGCCGUACCGGAAGGUGCGGCUGGAUCACCUCCUAACAGGGAGACAACAAAAUGUAAAUAUUAAUUUUGUCACCUUAGGUCGAUCGGUAUCUCAGAUUCUUAUUAUUUAAGGAUUUCAGUUUCUAAGUUUUUUCUAGGUCACACCCAUCACUUUUUCCUGGGCCAUUAGCUCAGGUGGUUAGAGCGCACCCCUGAUAAGGGUGAGGUCCCUGGUUCAAGUCCAGGAUGGCCCAUAUCUCUAUGUUGGGGGUAUAGCUCAGUUGGUAGAGCGCCUGCUUUGCAAGCAGGAUGUCAACGGUUCGAGUCCGCUUACCUCCACUGAAUACCACCUCUUACAUAUAGUUGAAGUGGGAAAUUGUUUUGAGUCGUGUCCUAAUUUGCUCUGAGCGAAUCUAGCUUCCUAUUUUAUCCAAGAAAUAAGAUGCUGGACUCAUUGAAUUUUUUUCAUUGUUUUCAGAGAACCUUGACAACUGCAUAGAUUAUUUUUAAAGACAAUAAGCAUCUUUAAUGAUGCAGAUUUAUUAUUUGUGCGAAUGCAUUAAAUAACAAUUCUAUUAAGCUGAUGCUUCAAUUAUUGAAGUUAUUGGUCAAGCUACAAAGGGCUCACGGAGGAUACCUAGGCACACACAGGCGAUGAA
This 714-nucleotide unclassified non-coding RNA is filed under the name uncultured cyanobacterium. RNAcentral's name for it is "partial contains 16S ribosomal RNA, 16S-23S ribosomal RNA intergenic spacer, and 23S ribosomal RNA". The stretch from base 1 to 112 matches the Rfam family "Bacterial small subunit ribosomal RNA", at positions 1423 to 1533 of the family's 1533-position model. The record is from RNAcentral. Lineage: Bacteria; Bacillati; Cyanobacteriota.